UACAGAGGGUGCAAGCGUUAAUCGGAAUUACUGGGCGUAAAGCGUGCGUAGACGGUUACAUAAGUCGGGUGUGAAAGCCCCGGGCUCAACCUGGGAAUUGCAUUUGUGACUGCACGGCUAGAGUGUGUCAGAGGGGGGUAGAAUUCCACGUGUAGCAGUGAAAUGCGUAGAGAUGUGGAGGAAUACCGAUGGCGAAGGCAGCCCCCUGGGAUAACACUGACGCUCAUGCACGAAAGCGUGGGGAGCAAACAGG
RNAcentral lists this ribosomal RNA (253 nucleotides) under uncultured bacterium. Its description in RNAcentral is "partial 16S ribosomal RNA". It matches the Rfam family "Bacterial small subunit ribosomal RNA", at positions 524 to 776 of the family's 1533-position model. The record is from RNAcentral.